This 69-nucleotide transfer RNA is filed under the name Rattus norvegicus (Norway rat). It matches the Rfam family "tRNA". From Rfam's summary of the family: Transfer RNA (tRNA) molecules are approximately 80 nucleotides in length. Lineage: Eukaryota; Metazoa; Chordata; Mammalia; Rodentia; Muridae. The record is from Rfam by way of RNAcentral.
GGGGAUUUAGCUCAGCAGAAGAGCGCUUGCCUAGCAAGCACAAGGCCCUGGGUUCGGUCCCCAGCUCCA